Molecule: long non-coding RNA, 466 nt
Organism: Dreissena polymorpha
Lineage: Eukaryota; Metazoa; Mollusca; Bivalvia; Myida; Dreissenidae
Exons: 3
Source: RefSeq, a predicted model, not a curated record
GCGCCGACAUUUGCCAUCUGGGUGAAAGCCGGCGUGAAGUUGGACGCGGCGACGUCACCUCUCCUCGUUAACGUUCAGUGCGUUGAUGACAGAUCGCCGGCGAAUAUCAUAACCGAAACGUUCACGGUUCCCUUACUUGAUAAGCCUCCGACGUUCGUUACGGGAAUUCCCGGCACAUCUCCGUCUAUUUCCGACUCGACCGUCACCGCGACGUCACUCGGUGUCUUCACCGUUACCGAUCCCGACACGACAGGCAGUAUUACGUCAUCGCUGACGUCAGUGUAUGAGAUCAGACCCGUGACGUCACCGGCAGAUCUUCAAAAGCCGGAGUUCCGAGUGUGGGUCAGUGCCGCCGUUACACAAGCGUCUAUAGACUUCAAUGACCAGGCGGUUCCGUUGCCGUUGACGAUCACGUGUACGGAUGGAAACACCGCCAUCACGGGAACGUUCAACGUCAAUAUUGUCG